Molecule: long non-coding RNA, 1458 nt
Filed under: Homo sapiens (human)
Lineage: Eukaryota; Metazoa; Chordata; Mammalia; Primates; Hominidae
Description: HSALNT0309642
Source: RNAcentral
GCUUAGUAUGAAGGAGAACACUUUCAGGGGACCAAGUCAGAGAUAAGUCUGCAACCACAGCAAUGGCCCUUUAGAAAGCAUUUAAGAGGCCUGGUGCUUUUUGAGCUGCUUUGAUGACGUGGCAAUGGCUGGAGGGGAAAAGCAGCGGCACAGCUGCCUGCCAUUGGCCUGGUCUUUUUCACUGUGCUCAGUGUUGUCAUCACGAAGCCUCUCAUGCAGCGCGAUGUCAGGAUGGGCCCAUGCGCGGGUGGAAGGCAUGUGGGGGCCAUGUUGCCAGCUGCGGAUGGACAGGCUUCUGAUAUCAGGCUGUGACAGCACUGUCAUCUCCCAAGAAUCCAGCAUCCGUCUGCAUGGAUUGCAUGCCAUCCUUGAAUCCACUCACUUGCCCAGCCCCUGAACCAACUGAUGAAUGUGGUGAAGUCUUCCCUUCGUCACCCCAGGUGCAGCCACAGCCUCUGCAGCCACCCUGGGGGAGAGACAGCUCCAGCAGGACCUGCUAAGGUGAGGUGUUCUGGAAGGGUCUCUGCUCCUAGCAGUCACUGGCAGCUUGCCCAAAUUGGAGAAGUUUAACAUCUCUUUUCUCUGAGAAGUAAAAUGUGUUUCUUUGGUGGAUGUGAAACCAACAAACCACUGUGGUGCCUCUCUACAUCUGAAGGAUGAGCCAGCCAAGCCAGGGGAACUGACGACCCCACACACGUCUGCACUGCUGUGGCCGUGUUGAACACGGACUCCUUCUUCAGGGCAGCCUUGGGCCAUCGGAGGGCUGCUGUAUGCAGUGACGGCCACCAAGUGUCCUUGGCCAGGGGAGUGAUUUACAGGGACUGAGAUCCUGACUUGUGACCCAGACACGAAUGCAUCCUUGUUCCAUUUUGUUAUUGCUCAACCGUCAUCUGGCCAUCCCCAAAGCCCACCUCUGUGAGAAAGGCCAGUGCUUGUCCUCGUGACACCCCUGAGACCUCGAUGGAGCAAGUCCCAGGGCCCAUCAUACAUUUUUAAAGAAAAUCUUCUUUUGGUGAGAAGAUCAAAGGGCCAGGCAGAAAUGGAAAAGCACUUUCUGGCAUCAGACUUCCUCUGACUUCUCCGGUUGCCACACCACUGAAAGACUGCCCCACAGUGCGAGGGACGUCCACAUCUGCCUGGCUCUCCGAGGGAUGAACAGCCUUCAGUUCAGCUUCCUGUCACACCCCAAAAUCCACCAGGGCUCUGCAGUCAUAGAGCCCUGGAACCCAGAGGUGGAAACUUAAAGGAAUGAGUGCUCUCUCGCUCCAAAACCACAGAUAUCUGGUCCAUAGAGAACCCACCACACUUGUAUACAUUUUCAUACGUCUGCGCACAUACACAAAUGCACAAACACAUGUUCAGCUGUUGAUAAUCAUCUGAUCUUUUGCUCUUUCGAUGUAAAUAUGGCCAGAUAUCUCUGGCUUUAAUUCUCAUUAAAAUUUUGAAAGUUAUACUUUC